Molecule: ribosomal RNA, 474 nt
Filed under: uncultured bacterium
Lineage: Bacteria
Description: bacterial SSU rRNA
Rfam family: Bacterial small subunit ribosomal RNA
Source: RNAcentral
ACGAACGCUGGCGGCGUGCCUAACACAUGCAAGUCGAGCGAGGAGAUCCUUCGGGAUGAUCCUAGCGGCGGACGGGUGAGUAACACGUGGGCAACCUGCCUCAUAGAGAGGAAUAGCCUUCCGAAAGGGAGAUUAAUACCUCAUAACAUUGCAGUUUCGCAUGGAACAGCAAUUAAAGGAGUAAUCCGCUAUGAGAUGGGCCCCGCGGCGCAUUAGCUAGUUGGUGAGGUAAUGGCUCACCAAGGCGACGAUGCGUAGCCGACCUGAGAGGGUGAUCGGCCACAUUGGGACUGAGACACGGCCCAGACUCCUACGGGAGGCAGCAGUGGGGAAUAUUGCACAAUGGGGGGAAACCCUGAUGCCAGCAACGCCGCGUGAGUGAUGACGGCCUUCGGGUUGUAAAGCUCUGUCUUCAGGGACGAUAAUGACGGUACCUGAGGAGGAAGCCACGGCUAACUACGUGCCAGCCGCCGC